RNAcentral lists this transfer RNA (76 nucleotides) under Acidiphilium sp. RNAcentral describes it as "tRNA-Glu". It matches the Rfam family "tRNA". From Rfam's summary of the family: Transfer RNA (tRNA) molecules are approximately 80 nucleotides in length. Their secondary structure includes four short double-helical elements and three loops (D, anti-codon, and T loops). Further hydrogen bonds mediate the characteristic L-shaped molecular structure. tRNAs have two regions of fundamental functional importance: the anti-codon, which is responsible for specific mRNA codon recognition, and the 3' end, to which the tRNAs corresponding amino acid is attached (by aminoacyl-tRNA synthetases). tRNAs cope with the degeneracy of the genetic code in two manners: having more than one tRNA (with a specific anti-codon) for a particular amino acid; and 'wobble' base-pairing, i.e. permitting non-standard base-pairing at the 3rd anti-codon position. RNAcentral also lists the same sequence under 7 other names. Lineage: Bacteria; Pseudomonadati; Pseudomonadota; Alphaproteobacteria; Acetobacterales; Acidocellaceae. The record is from RNAcentral.
GUCCCGUUCGUCUAGAGGCCUAGGACGUCGCCCUCUCACGGCGAUAACAGGGGUUCGAAUCCCCUACGGGACGCCA